Molecule: ribosomal RNA, 274 nt
Filed under: uncultured bacterium
Lineage: Bacteria
Description: partial 16S ribosomal RNA
Rfam family: Bacterial small subunit ribosomal RNA
Source: RNAcentral
CGGUAAUACGUAGGGGGCAAGCGUUAUCCGGAUUUACUGGGUGUAAAGGGAGCGUAGACGGUUUUGCAAGUCUGAAGUGAAAGCCCGGGGCUUAACCCCGGGACUGCUUUGGAAACUGUAGAACUAGAGUGCAGGAGAGGUAGGUGGAAUUCCUAGUGUAGCGGUGAAAUGCGUAGAUAUUAGGAGGAACACCAGUGGCGAAGGCGGCUUACUGGACUGUAACUGACGUUGAGGCUCGAAAGCGUGAGGAGCAAACAGGAUUAGAUACCCUGGU